This 495-nucleotide ribosomal RNA is filed under the name uncultured bacterium. Its description in RNAcentral is "partial 16S ribosomal RNA". It matches the Rfam family "Bacterial small subunit ribosomal RNA", at positions 28 to 507 of the family's 1533-position model. The record is from RNAcentral.
GAUGAACGCUGGCGGCGUGCCUAAUACAUGCAAGUAGAACGCUGAAGGAGGAGCUUGCUCUUCUGGAUGAGUUGCGAACGGGUGAGUAACGCGUAGGUAACCUGCCUGGUAGUGGGGGAUAACUAUUGGAAACGAUAGCUAAUACCGCAUGACAACAGUUAUUGCAUGAUAACUGUUUAAAAGGGGCAACUGCUCCACUACCAGAUGGACCUGCGUUGUAUUAGCUAGUUGGUGAGGUAACGGCUCACCAAGGCGACGAUACAUAGCCGACCUGAGAGGGUGAUCGGCCACACUGGGACUGAGACACGGCCCAGACUCCUACGGGAGGCAGCAGUAGGGAAUCUUCGGCAAUGGACGGAAGUCUGACCGAGCAACGCCGCGUGAGUGAAGAAGGUUUUCGGAUCGUAAAGCUCUGUUGUAAGAGAAGAACGAGUGUGAGAGUGGAAAGUUCACACUGUGACGGUAUCUUACCAGAAAGGGACGGCUAACUACGUG